CGAACGGGUGAGUAAUGCGUGACCAACCUGCCCCAUGCUCCAGAAUAGCUCUUGGAAACGGGUGGUAAUGCUGGAUGCUCCAACUUGACGCAUGUCUUGUUGGAAAGUGUUUAGUGGCAUGGGAUGGGGUCGCGUCCUAUCAGCUUGUAGGCGGGGUAAUGGCCCACCUAGGCUUCGACGGGUAGCCGGCCUGAGAGGGCGGACGGCCACAUUGGGACUGAGAUACGGCCCAGACUCCUACGGGAGGCAGCAGGC
This 255-nucleotide ribosomal RNA is filed under the name uncultured Gardnerella sp. RNAcentral describes it as "partial 16S ribosomal RNA". It matches the Rfam family "Bacterial small subunit ribosomal RNA", at positions 99 to 354 of the family's 1533-position model. Lineage: Bacteria; Bacillati; Actinomycetota; Actinomycetes; Bifidobacteriales; Bifidobacteriaceae. The record is from RNAcentral.